Non-coding RNA from Anas platyrhynchos (mallard), 3856 nucleotides. NCBI's taxonomy places the organism in Eukaryota, Metazoa, Chordata, Aves, Anseriformes, Anatidae. The record is from RefSeq and is a predicted model, not a curated record.
CAUCUGGAGAUGAUUACAGAAGGCUCCUUACCUGUGCCAAAACAGAUCUUCACUUUGCUUAAUAUUAACUUUUUCUGAGAAGGUCUGUGGGCUGGAUGUGCAGACAGGGCCAAUACAAAGCCCCUAGACUAUAAAACAACGUGGCUCCAAAAGAGUCUGUUAGGUCUCUGGCAUCUCCCAACCAACCUUUCACAACAGAGAAAAGAUAAAGAAGUGGGAAAAAUAUUAUCCAGGAGUAAUACUGAUCUGCAGGAAGUGUUGGACAAGUUCCAGCAGUUCGAAAGAGCCUAGGACUAGAGGAAUGAGGAAUUAAUGUGUCCAGUGGUGUUUAUGGCCUGGCUGAGUGUGUCUGGGUGACAGUUCCUGUGUGACUCCUCACCAAGGUGCUGUUUUACGAGUGGUGGUGUUUUGUGUCCGCAGGGGUUCUGUCAGCUCUUCCUCACAAUUGCCCUGUGAAAGUGAAGGCAGUCAGCCUGGAGGAAGGACCUGGGGGAGAAGGUGAAGAGAAGAGAGUCCUCAGUGAGGAGGCUGUCUGGAGUUUGGAGAAGCUCCCAGGAGGAAGCAGGAAGCAAAGAGAUGCUCGAAGCCAAAGCCCAAACUGCCCGCCCUGUUCCUGACCGUUACAUCGAAGCACUAGAGGAGAUGGAGAAGCUCGCUGUGGUGUGGCAUUCACAAAGAGUCCUGACAGCUUCUGCCCCGGGGAAGGAGAAGAAAGCAGAGGCAGAGAAUAAUACACGCAGGACCCAGCUGAAAACCCAACCAGAGACUCACAAGAAAGGGCAUGAGCUGAACCUGGGGGCCACAAGAGGAAGACAGAAGACAGACAAGUCCCAGGAAGGCAGUGGAAGAGCUGCUUUUGAGAAGUAAAACCAAUUCCAUCCCAGGUAACCUAGCUGGCAAAGCUCAGAGCUGUUUCCCAAAAGCCUUGUGAGAGACCCAAACCCUCAGAUAUGUCUCUGCUCAACCAGAGAGGUAGUCUGAAGACUCAUUUCUGGGCUGCCCAUCUGGGAAGCGGCAAUAAAGGCAGUUAACAAGGUCCAGGCUGAGCUGUCUGUCAGAGUGGGUCAGCUGGGGGACCUAUCUAAUCCUGCUGUAGGAUUUCACAGGCUUUGUUGUGCAGAUGCCACAUAUAGCUGACAAUGUCACAGGCAGUUUUGGAAGAUGGAGAGGCCAAAUCGGAACUGGAGCGUCAUUAAGUUGUGACAGCACUGAAAGCUGCAUGGUGGUGGCUUCUCAGGUUCUCACCUUACAGGGAAGUGUCUGCCUGGUGUGGAAAUAAAAUAAUUAACACCUCACAGGCUUCUGCAGGCCUCACUAGUUAAGAAAUGCAUGCCAGCAUGACCUAACAGCCCUCUGGCCCAGCACAAUUUAACUAACAAAAGCACAGGAGAAUUUGUGUGGAGGAUUUCUGUUUUUUUUCAAGGGAUACUGCCUAGAUCCAGCUGAUUGUCCAGAGCCUUCCUGUAUGUUGUACUCUGUGUUACCGCUCCCUCAUGUAAUUUUCUAUAGUCCUACUCAUGUGGACUUAGUGAAGAAUGAGUUGUGGAACCUAAAGGGACACCAACUGGAGCAGCCUCAUUUUGGCAGUUUGUAGCAUCAGAGAGAUCACAGUGGUGUUCUGUCUUCUCCUGCAGCUGGAGUAACAAGCUGCUUCUGUUCUGACCAGGUCAGCACUGCUUUCUGGUCAUUCCAUGACAGGGGGGCUUUUUAUCAUUUGGGCUUUGGAAAGCCAGGCUAGACCAAGUGGGCAGGAUAGCCAAAUCCAUCCCUCAUGAGCUUUAUGACCACUGUAGUUUCCAAGUAUAUUUCUCUUGCCCUGGCUCCAGUCUUCAAGGCUGUAAAUGGACCUAUGGGCAUUUUGGAUAAUGCAUCAAUGUGUAUUAAAGCACUCUCACCCUCAGUACAUUCAGCCAGAUCUCAUCUCUGAGCUUAGAGAAGGCAGUACACACGUGAGACCAUCACUGUAAAUUACUUUUCUUUCCAAACUGCUGAAGAAUAGAAACUUGCAGAAGAAAUACUCUACCCCCUUUCAAACUGUAUCACAGAGGUGGCCUUCAAAACACCUGUGAAAGUACAAGCUCAUUUGUGACUAGGGGUUGCAUAUUUGGACUGCCAAGCUGCUGGAGCAUAAAUGCUUUUUCUUGCUUACCUGUGAAAUGAGUAUGAGUAGGGAAGAGGUACUCCUGCAUUUCACUGGCUGUCCAAGAUCUGAAGCUAUGACUAGUUUAGGAUGCUCAGGGAAUCUUUAUCAUUCUUGUUCCUGCUGAAAGCCUGUGUAUGCAUCCUAAGUUCGGCAUGAACACUGCAGGUGAGUAAAAAAGGACUGUUGUCCUCCUUUGAAGUCUGAUAUAGGUGUGGGACACUCACAACCCCGUCUGUCCCCUUUCACGGGGGAUCUCUGUUCUUUGAAGUGCAGUGUCAGAAACUAUCCCAACAGAUUUACAUUUUGUUUUCAAGAGAGAUAAUAAGGUAGGGCUUACAGUACAACAGAGACACAUUUCUGUAGCCUAAAUGAGGAACAGAAUAAACCUCUUACUGCAUUUUCCCCUGUCAGGCUGAAUUGUGGUGUAGUGUCUGCUUUGUGCCUUCCAGAGAGAAGGAAGAUCCUGUAGAUGGAAUUAGACUUUGUACUGUCUUCAUGAUAAACAGCCAAAUGCUCGUUCAAUAUAAACUAUAUUUAUGGUGUAUGUAUCUAUAGAUUAGAUGCUCAUCUCCCAACAACACUUUUUUUUAACCUCUACAGGGUGUUUUCACAUGAGAGAACAGAGUAUAUAGAAAUUGUCUGGGGACAAGCCACAGGAGAAACAGAUACAAUACAUAUACAAAUCUAUUUUGCCACUAGGAGUUCAGGCCCACUACAUGGAAAACCUUUUAAAACAAAGAAAGUCUGCUAUCAUUAGACAUUGAGGCUAAACAUACUCCUUUCAUCCCUUCAUAAAAGAAAAAAAAAUCUCUUUGGAAAUGCUCAGUGUGCAACAGUUGAAGGAAACAUUAGCUUCCAAACUUCACUGUAUUUUUAGAAAGAAAAGACAUCUCUGACCCUUGCAGCCUCCUGAAACAGGUUCCUAGCUGCACAGAACCUGCCACAGAGGCAGGCAGCCCAGGCAGAGUCUGAUUUAACAAAACGCAGAUGAGAGCAGUAAGGACAGGAAGUAGAAGGAGCUGAUGACAGAAUUUGACAAAGAACAGACUAAAAGUUUUUAUUAAGAGAUUAAAGGCUUUAGAGCUUAAACUCUUCUGUAAUUCUUAAAGACUCCAACUCUUCUUAACUUCUUUUUCAAUUACUAUCAUUCUACUAGCUCUGUACUUUCCAGAAGAGGUAUUUCGUUGUCAAAAAUAAUGAUUAUCUGCAUUCUGAUUCUAGAAAUAGGAAAGUCCAGAAAAGAAAAGAACAAAUCAAACACAUCACUUCUCUGCAUUCAGAUGCAUAAAGCCCAAGUGAACAUAAAAGGGAAGAGUUUGUUCCCUUAUGGUGUGUAUUCAAGUUACUAUUUUGAUUUAUAUCCUCAAAGCAGAUGGGGCUGACUGGGUAAAGCAGAAUUUCUUCCCCAGGUCUUGCUCCAGAUCUGCAUUUGCCAGUUUUCCAGUUCUUCCCCAUGUUAACAGUAUCCACACCUUGAAUGUGAUUUCAUCUCCUUCCAUGUUCUCAGGGCAAACCAGUUGGAAUAUUUCUCUACAGUUUAAUAGAACAAUGGUCAUGGUAUUCACAAGUUAAUACAGAAAUUAAAGCUGACCUUAAUUGUGUUAGGCCUCUAGGCAGCCACCACCCUUCCUUCCUCUCAGAAGCAGAGCAGCUCAGUUUUGAGAACUUGGCAUUUACAACCUAAAAAACAACCUUGGCUGAAAAUCCUUACUG